Molecule: microRNA precursor, 60 nt
Filed under: Magallana gigas (Pacific oyster)
Lineage: Eukaryota; Metazoa; Mollusca; Bivalvia; Ostreida; Ostreidae
Description: Mgi-Mir-315-v2_pre stem-loop
Source: RNAcentral
UUUGAUUGUUGCUCAGAAAGCCAUCUCUAAAAAGCGUGGCUAUCGAGCAACAAUCAAAGA